Molecule: long non-coding RNA, 638 nt
Organism: Populus euphratica (Euphrates poplar)
Lineage: Eukaryota; Viridiplantae; Streptophyta; Magnoliopsida; Malpighiales; Salicaceae
Exons: 3
Source: RefSeq, a predicted model, not a curated record
GCAUAUACAUUUACUUUAAAAGUAUUUUAAUGAUGAAAUUUCUUAACUAUUGAGAAUGUUUAUCAGGUUCAACUGUAAGUAUAUUAAUAGUUUCAUAUGCCAACUUCCUUGGAGGCAUUUAUGAUCACAUUUAAGUAAUGAUUGACCUGAAAAUCACACUAGUGGUUUUCACUUCUACUCUGGUGAUUUGCCUGGUUCCUCCAUCUACUUUUCUAAUAAAUUGGACAUUUUCCACAGUACCAAUAUAUAAAUUUUAUUCUUUUAGAGAGACCAUAUGAAGGGGAAAAAAAGAAAUCAUAGAAGAGCAUUUGAGGGAGAAGGAUCCUUGCUUACUUUGUUGAAGGAUAUUUGGAUUGGCAUCAUACAUAAUUGGCACACAGAACAAUCCUUGACUUAGAGGAUGGUUUCCUUGUUUUUUUUUUUUUUGUUUCCAAUCUUCUACCAACUGUAGGUUGAAGUUCUUUUGUGUAGUUUCUUAAUCCUGUAGAUGGGAUGUACCGCUGUGGCUGGCCUUGUUAUAUAUACACAUUUUAAUUCGUCAGAUAAACUGAUAAAUAAUCAAUUUCCAUUAUUUUGGUUCUUCUGCUUUUGUAAUUUCUUUAUGAGUGUUGCUGUUUAUAUUCAUCAUUUAGAUGUAU